This 468-nucleotide ribosomal RNA is filed under the name uncultured bacterium. RNAcentral's name for it is "partial 16S ribosomal RNA". It matches the Rfam family "Bacterial small subunit ribosomal RNA", at positions 28 to 507 of the family's 1533-position model. The record is from RNAcentral.
GACGAACGCUGGCGGCGUGCUUAACACAUGCAAGUCGAACGGAAAGGCCCUGCUUUUGUGGGGUGCUCGAGUGGCGAACUGGUGAGUAACACGUGAGUAACCUGCCCUUGACUUUGGGAUAACUUCAUGAAACUGGGUCUAAUACCGGAUAGGAGCUCCUGCUGCAUGGUGGGGGUUGGAAAGUUUCGGCGGUUGGGGAUGGACUCGCGGCUUAUCAGCUUGUUGGUGGGGUAGUGGCUUACCAAGGCUUUGACGGGUAGCCGGCCUGAGAGGGUGACCGGCCACACUGGGACUGAGAUACGGCCCAGACUCCUACGGGAGGCAGCAGUGGAGAAUAUUGCACAAUGGGCGGAAGCCUGAUGCAGCAACGCCGCGUGCGGGAAGACGGCCUUCGGGUUGUAAACCGCUUUCGCCUGUGACGAAGCGUGAGUGACGGUAAUGGGUAAAGAAGCACCGGCUAACUACGUG